AAAAAACGCUCAAUGCCUCUUAACAUUGUAAAUGACAAAUAUUUCACACGCUCAAUGCCUCUUAACAAAAAAAAAAAACGUGACUCUUCUCUCUCAUUCUCUUCCGGUCACUGCUCUUCUCUUCUCCUCUCUCAGUCGAUGCUCUGCUCUUCUUCAUCGUCAUUGCCUCUAGCUCCAGCCACCUUACGUAAACCACCACAAGACUGUGAGUUGAGAAUGAACAUAUUCAUCUCACAUCAAAUCCAGAUCUCAAAAUCCUCUACAUCUAGAUUUGUUGGUUUUAACCCAUGAAAAUUCAUUGAUUUUGCUGACCUAAUUCCAUUUUCCCAGGUCUGAAUUCAGAGAGAGGUUUAAGAAAAGAGAAUCCAAGCAACAAAUCCAUUGUCGUGGUUGGGAAAGUUGGUGGAAAGGAAUGGAAUGGAUAUAAAGGUUGAAAUAGGAUAAGGCUCGAUUCAUUGCUAAGUUUGAGAAGUUCAAGGAGGAGUAUGAGGAGACAAUGCUUGCGUACAAUAUGGGAAUUACCGAGAAUAAUGCUUCAGAGGAAGAAGGAUUUGAUAAGUCUUAGUCGGAAUUUGAUGUCUUAGACUAAGAAGAAUGCUUCAGAGUUGAAGAAAAUUAUGGCUAAUGAGAAAGCUGCUGAGAUUGUUAUGGCUGAUCCGAGGCGGGCCAAGAGGUGUUGUAAUUGAAUCAUUCAACGUUUUAGUUAGUAAUGUCAAUAUGAAUGGUUAGUUUAACUUGGAUAUUUUUUUCUAUCGUUUUAUUAUAAGCAAAGAACUUGGUUGCUCCUGCAAUUCUUCAUAAUUAUGCAGAUUUUUGUAUCAAUACAUGAGUUUUGUGUUUGUGUUGUACUUAUGUUGUAGGGCAAAAAUAUUGGAGACACUUUUAUUAUUAGCAGAACUUGAUUACUCACGA
Long non-coding RNA from Medicago truncatula (barrel medic), 912 nucleotides. RefSeq lists it as uncharacterized. NCBI's taxonomy places the organism in Eukaryota, Viridiplantae, Streptophyta, Magnoliopsida, Fabales, Fabaceae. The transcript has 5 exons. The record is from RefSeq and is a predicted model, not a curated record.